RNAcentral lists this ribosomal RNA (433 nucleotides) under uncultured bacterium. RNAcentral's name for it is "partial 16S ribosomal RNA". It matches the Rfam family "Bacterial small subunit ribosomal RNA", at positions 29 to 507 of the family's 1533-position model. The record is from RNAcentral.
AACGAACGCUGGCGGCAUGCCUAACACAUGCAAGUCGAACGAGACCUUCGGGUCUAGUUGCGCACGGGUGCGUAACGCGUGGGAACCUGCCCUUAAGUUCGGAAUACCUCCCCGAAAGGGGUGCUAAUACCGGAUAAUGUCUUCGGACCAAAGAUUUAUCGCCUUUGGAUGGGCCCGCGUUGGAUUAGCUAGUUGGUAGGGUAAAAGCCUACCAAGGCGACGAUCCAUAGCUGGUCUGAGAGGAUGAUCAGCCACACUGGGACUGAGACACGGCCCAGACUCCUACGGGAGGCAGCAGUGGGGAAUAUUGGACAAUGGGCGAAAGCCUGAUCCAGCAAUGCCGCGUGAGUGAUGAAGGCCUUAGGGUUGUAAAGCUCUUUUACCCGGGAUGAUAAUGACAGUACCGGGAGAAUAAGCUCCGGCUAACUACGUG